This 561-nucleotide ribosomal RNA is filed under the name Phascolosoma esculenta. RNAcentral's name for it is "partial 16S ribosomal RNA". It matches the Rfam family "Bacterial large subunit ribosomal RNA", at positions 1834 to 2620 of the family's 2925-position model. The record is from RNAcentral. Lineage: Eukaryota; Metazoa; Annelida; Sipuncula; Phascolosomatiformes; Phascolosomatidae.
GACCUUCAGCUAUUGGAGGCAUUGCCUGCCAGUGACAACUGUUUAACGGCCGCGGUAUCCUGACCGUGCAAAGGUAGCAUAAUCAUUUGUUCUCUAAAUAAGGACUUGUAUGAAUGGCCGCACGAGGGUUUUACUGUCUCUUACUUCCAAUCAGUGAAAUUGACCUUCCCGUGAAGAGGCGGGAAUGCACAAAUAAGACGAGAAGACCCUAUGGAGCUUUAACUAACCAACCCAAAGAGAAUAGAUUUAACCAUUAAGGAAUAACAACAAUCUCCAUGAGUUGGUAGUUUCGGUUGGGGUGACCUCGGAGAAUAAAAAAUCCUCCGAGCGAUUUUAAAGACUAGACCCACAAGUCAAAUCACUCUAUCGCUCAUUGAUCCAAAAACUUGAUCAACGGAACAAGUUACCCUAGGGAUAACAGCGCAAUCCUAUUCAAGAGUCCAUAUCGACAAUAGGGUUUACGACCUCGAUGUUGGAUCAGGACAUCCUGAUGGUGCAACCGCUAUCAAAGGUUCGUUUGUUCAACGAUUAAAGUCCUACGUGAUCUGAGUUCAGACCGGA